RNAcentral lists this ribosomal RNA (161 nucleotides) under uncultured bacterium. RNAcentral describes it as "partial 16S ribosomal RNA". It matches the Rfam family "Eukaryotic small subunit ribosomal RNA", at positions 415 to 582 of the family's 1831-position model. The record is from RNAcentral.
CCUACGGGAGGCAGCAGGGACGAAGAUUGCCCAAUCCCGACUCGGGGAGGCAGUGACAAGAAAUAACAACUCUCAACUAUGUUGAGAAGUGUAAUGAGGAUAAUUUACAAACCUUACCGAAAGCAAUUGGAGGGCAAGUCUGGUGCCAGCAGCCGCGGUAA